RNAcentral lists this ribosomal RNA (255 nucleotides) under Klebsiella aerogenes. RNAcentral's name for it is "partial 23S ribosomal RNA". It matches the Rfam family "Bacterial large subunit ribosomal RNA", at positions 1421 to 1675 of the family's 2925-position model. Lineage: Bacteria; Pseudomonadati; Pseudomonadota; Gammaproteobacteria; Enterobacterales; Enterobacteriaceae. The record is from RNAcentral.
GGAAACAGGUUAAUAUUCCUGUACUUGGUGUUACUGCGAAGGGGGGACGGAGAAGGCUAUGUUAGCCGGGCGACGGUUGUCCCGGUUUAAGCAUGUAGGCGGAGGUUCCAGGUAAAUCCGGUACCUUAUUAACGCUGAGGUGUGAUGACGAGGCACUACGGUGCUGAAGUAACAAAUGCCCUGCUUCCAGGAAAAGCCUCUAAGCAUCAGGUAACAUUAAAUCGUACCCCAAACCGACACAGGUGGUCAGGUAGA